UACGAAGGGGGCGAGCGUUGUUCGGAAUUACUGGGCGUAAAGGGCUCGUAGGCGGCCAACUAUGUCAGACGUGAAAUCCCUCGGCUUAACCGGGGAACUGCGUCUGAUACUGGAUGGCUUGAGUUUGGGAGAGGGAUGCGGAAUUCCAGGUGUAGCGGUGAAAUGCGUAGAUAUCUGGAGGAACACCGGUGGCGAAGGCGGCAUCCUGGACCAACACUGACGCUGAGUGAGCGAAAGCCAGGGGAGCAAACGGG
RNAcentral lists this ribosomal RNA (254 nucleotides) under uncultured bacterium. RNAcentral's name for it is "partial 16S ribosomal RNA". It matches the Rfam family "Bacterial small subunit ribosomal RNA", at positions 524 to 776 of the family's 1533-position model. The record is from RNAcentral.